Molecule: unclassified non-coding RNA, 248 nt
Filed under: uncultured fungus
Lineage: Eukaryota; Fungi
Description: partial contains 18S rRNA, ITS1, 5.8S rRNA
Rfam family: 5.8S ribosomal RNA (bases 197-248)
Source: RNAcentral
UAACAAGGUUUCCGUAGGUGAACCUGCGGAAGGAUCAUUACUGAGUGCGGGCUGCCUCCGGGCGCCCAACCUCCCACCCGUGAAUACCUAACACUGUUGCUUCGGCGGGGAACCCCCUCGGGGGCGAGCCGCCGGGGACUACUGAACUUCAUGCCUGAGAGUGAUGCAGUCUGAGUCUGAAUAUAAAAUCAGUCAAAACUUUCAACAAUGGAUCUCUUGGUUCCGGCAUCGAUGAAGAACGCAGCGAA